RNAcentral lists this ribosomal RNA (429 nucleotides) under uncultured archaeon. RNAcentral's name for it is "bacterial SSU rRNA". It matches the Rfam family "Archaeal small subunit ribosomal RNA", at positions 474 to 903 of the family's 1478-position model. The record is from RNAcentral.
UACCAGCUCUCCGAGUGGUAGGGAUGAUUAUUGGGCUUAAAGCGUCCGUAGCCGGCUUAGCAAGUCUCCUGUUAAAUUCAGCGACCUAAUCGUUGAGCCGCGGGAGAUACUACUAGGCUAGGAGGCGGGAGAGGUCGACGGUACUUUCGGGGUAGGGGUGAAAUCCUAUAAUCCCGGGAGGACCACCAGUGGCGAAGGCUGUCGACUAGAACGCGCUCGACGGUGAGGGACGAAAGCUGGGGGAGCGAACCGGAUUAGAUACCCGGGUAGUCCCAGCUGUAAACGAUGCGGGCUAGGUGUUGGGGUGGCUACGGGCCACUUCAGUGCCGCAGGAAAGCCAUUAAGCCCGCCGCCUGGGGAGUACGGCCGCAAGGCUGAAACUUAAAGGAAUUGGCGGGGGAGCACCACAAGGCGUGAAGCUUGCGGUUC